This is a transfer RNA of Paracoccidioides brasiliensis, 91 nucleotides long. It matches the Rfam family "tRNA". Rfam says of the family: Transfer RNA (tRNA) molecules are approximately 80 nucleotides in length. NCBI's taxonomy places the organism in Eukaryota, Fungi, Ascomycota, Eurotiomycetes, Onygenales, Ajellomycetaceae. The record is from Rfam.
GCCGGGCUAGCUCAAUCGGUAGAGCGUGCGGCUCUUAAGAUCACAACUUCUAGUGACCGCAAGGUUGCGGGUUCGACCCCCGCGUUCGGCU